UACUGAUAUAGUGGGACAGAAGCCGUUCCAGCAUCUAAAUACGACUGGACUUGUAAAUAGCACACAGUGAAGGAAAGAAAACGGGCAGAGAGGAGUUGGGUCGGGUGAAGAGGUUUAGAGAAAGUAUCCAUCCAGAUUUCGUCAUCUUCCAAUUGCAUCGUCCCCGUCCUCGUCCUCGUCCUCCACAAUGGCUGCUAGACAGACAGUCAUGUUUCUAGUGGCGGUGCUCCUCUCCCUUUCAGGCCUCAUUCAUAGCUUCCAACCACUCUUCUCAUUUGAUGGGAAUUCCACCACUCACCGUGACAUCACACGAAGGGCGGUACUCAGAAAGACAGCUGAGGUCUGCCGAGACAUUGCUGCCUCUGAGGGACGGGACUUUAGCCUGACUAUUGAUGACAGCCUGUCAACUGAGCAGGUGCAGAGGGCCUGUUCCUCGACAGGUACCUCCACCUCUCUCCUCUCAACUGUUGUGUUCCAAACGUCCAUCGCCAACAUGUACUUCAGCAACGCAAAAGUGGAUGUGGUUUUUGCGCUGAGUGAGGAGCACCAUUUUGAUGACGAGACCUUCCAGGGAGGACGUGAUGUCAUCACAGCAGGUGUGUCUGGUGUGAAGGCCAGUGUGAAGCUGGAGAACUUUGUCGCAGGGAGAUGGACUCUUGGACGAGUCUGUCACACCCUACAGGUGAGUUGAUCAUUGUUUCAGAUUGCUGUGGGUUAGUUGUGUCAUUUUGGUGAGAGGCAUGAUCAUAAACACAAAGCAAUAGUGGAGUAAAAUAUGUUUCAUAUUAUUCUGUAGGACUUCUACAGCCACAGUAACUGGGUGGAGCUGGGGAACACUGCUCCUUUCAGCACUCUGAUCCAACCAGACCAACCUCUUGAGAACCUG
RNAcentral lists this long non-coding RNA (886 nucleotides) under Cottoperca gobio. RNAcentral's name for it is "lncRNA (ENSCGOG00000024611.1)". The record is from RNAcentral. Lineage: Eukaryota; Metazoa; Chordata; Actinopteri; Perciformes; Bovichtidae.